This 441-nucleotide ribosomal RNA is filed under the name uncultured bacterium. RNAcentral describes it as "bacterial SSU rRNA". It matches the Rfam family "Bacterial small subunit ribosomal RNA", at positions 954 to 1392 of the family's 1533-position model. The record is from RNAcentral.
GCUUAACGCGAAGAACCUUACCAAGCCUUGACAUGUCCGGACAGGCCCUGGAAACGGGGUCCUCCCAGCAAUGGGUCGGAACACAGGUGCUGCAUGGCUGCCGUCAGCUCGUGUCGUGAGAUGUUGGGUUAAGUCCCGUAACGAGCGCAACCCUUGUCCUUAGUUACCAGCACGUUAUGGUGGGCACUCUAAGGAGACUGCCGGUGACAAACCGGAGGAAGGUGGGGAUGACGUCAAGUCAUCAUGGCCCUUACGGCCUGGGCUACACACGUGCUACAAUGGUCGGUACAAAGGGUUGCCAAGCCGCGAGGUGGAGCUAAUCCCAUAAAACCGAUCGUAGUCCGGAUCGCAGUCUGCAACUCGACUGCGUGAAGUCGGAAUCGCUAGUAAUCGUGAAUCAGAAUGUCACGGUGAAUACGUUCCCGGGUCUUGUACACACCG